CAAAGAUUUAUUUUAUUGUUUUGAAGUUUUCAAACAAACUAGUCUUUGACAGUGGUAUCGUGGGCCAGUCCCGAUCGCUCAACAGGUUCUCGGAGGAUUCUGGGAGAUUUCUGCUAGCGUUGUAAACAACAACACUUGAAUUUCCAUCCCAGUGGAUUUGGCGACAGACAACCAUGUAUAGAAGCCGACAUUGAAGCCAAUGACCACACCAAGACCAACAACUAUGAUGAGUAAGAAAGCUGUUUACGGAAGCAGGCAACAUCACCAAAGCAAUGUCGGAAGUGGACACCAACACGGCUGAGGCGAACAACAACUGGUUUGCCUGACAGGACCAGGAUGAAGAAGCUGAGCGAUAUGACAAGGGGGAUUGGACAACUUGAGACCUGCCACGUCAGGCAGCUGAUCAACUUAGUCAACGUUCUUAAUUGCGUCCAUCUUGGACAGGACGAACGAUUAUGGAGCCUGUUGCCAUAGUGAUAUUUUUCGCUCAUCAUGUCGAUAUAGCAUCGUGAUAGCUAAUCAUGGAGUCCAUACAGCGGAUUAUUGGUCUGAGCAAACAUUCUGAUGUAAUUCCUCAGUUUAAAAUUAACACUGUUAUCAUUACAGUCAGCAUAUUAUAGGUACAUGUAUGUGGAAGAUUUUACACCGAUUGAGCAAAACAUUUUGUAGAUGUUAGAAGAUUAUUGACUUAUAUUUAAUGGAAGGGUUGUAAUGACAUACUGUUCAUAUAAUGUGUUCAUUGCAACAUUAACUACAAACUAAAUUAAACUCAUAUAUAUAUAUAUAUAUAUAUAUAUAUAUAUAUAUAUAUAUAUAUAUAUAUAUAUA
Molecule: long non-coding RNA, 828 nt
Organism: Gigantopelta aegis
Lineage: Eukaryota; Metazoa; Mollusca; Gastropoda; Neomphalida; Peltospiridae
Exons: 3
Source: RefSeq, a predicted model, not a curated record